GAUGAACGCUGGCGGCGUGCCUAAUACAUGCAAGUCGAGCGAACAGACGAGGAGCUUGCUCCUCUGACGUUAGCGGCGGACGGGUGAGUAACACGUGGAUAACCUACCUAUAAGACUGGGAUAACUUCGUGAAACCGGAGCUAAUACCGGAUAAUAUAUUGAACCGCAUGGUUCAAUAGUGAAAGACGGUUUUGCUGUCACUUAUAGAUGGAUCCGCGCCGCAUUAGCUAGUUGGUAAGGUAACGGCUUACCAAGGCAACGAUGCGUAGCCGACCUGAGAGGGUGAUCGGCCACACUGGAACUGAGACACGGUCCAGACUCCUACGGGAGGCAGCAGUAGGGAAUCUUCCGCAAUGGGCGAAAGCCUGACGGAGCAACGCCGCGUGAGUGAUGAAGGUCUUCGGAUCGUAAAACUCUGUUAUUAGGGAAGAACAAAUGUGUAAGUAACUAUGCACGUCUUGACGGUACUUAAUCAGAAAGCCACGGCUAACUACGUG
Molecule: ribosomal RNA, 497 nt
Filed under: uncultured bacterium
Lineage: Bacteria
Description: partial 16S ribosomal RNA
Rfam family: Bacterial small subunit ribosomal RNA
Source: RNAcentral